GUUGAGACCAAGAAGACGCAAAGAGAUGGUCCGGCUAAGAGGUAUCCGGCGCUUAAACGUUCUUCUUCCUACAAUGUAGAAAGGUAAGCUUGAUGAGUGCUUUGCUAUGUUCUUGAUAUCCUGCUUAAUCAAAUUGAUAUCUGGGCACACAUAAAUAUGUCUAGGCUAACUGUUGAAACCCUACAUGAUUCUUUGAUGUUACUUACUGGUUGUCAAUUUUAAAGAAAAAAUGUUGCAACCCAACUGUCGAGACCUUCUAAUUCAUGACUCCGUACCAUUUUGCGUUGUAGAGUUUGCUUACCAAUUUGAUUUAUGUUAGUUAUGUUUCCUUUUCGAAAACUAUGUCUCAUUAAGAGUAGAACCGAUGACAUGUGGGCAUUGGAUCCAAAAUUUUGCACGAACUGUUGAUAGGGACGCAAACCGUUAUUGUUGGGUUUAGGCUUGGGAUCAAAGAGUUAAGAAUUGGAGAAGAGCCAUGUACUGAAGAAUAUUUAUGAACGCUAGCACCGUUGCUUUUGUCGUUGCCUAAAACACUAACAGGUUGAUACCAGAAACAUUGUAUGGUUGUCAUAUAGCGCCAGCAUGCAGCUGGCAUGUAUCUAUCAAACAAAAAUACCAAAGUACGGGAAUCUACCUGCCGGGAGAGAAUUUGAGGCCUGUAGGAUCCCAAAUCGGUAAUGAGAGAUUUGUAAAUGAGGCGUGCUCGCACCCUGACUGUUCAUCUACUCCACCGUCACCUCGCGUCCGCCCUCGUCACAUUGGUUUUCGUCGAGGUGAGUUCUCCCUCCGUCCUUUUUCCUCUGCCCCACCGGCGUUCUCUGAGAAUCAGCCGGUUCUCCGUCCUCCGAUACGAAGGGACAAUGUGCUCCACGGAGAGCUAGAACAAAUUGGAACGAUGAACAUGGUUAUGCAGUAAUUUGGUUCUACCUCAUGUCCAAGGUUGCCAAUAUAUACAAUAGUACAAUCAGGAUUGUUCUCUGGGUUCUCUUUAAAUUAUCAUGAUAUUAUAUGUUUCCGUUGCAACGCACGGGCACUAACCUAGUUAUUACCUUAGUUUAGUAGUCGAUUGAGUGUUGCAGCUCAGAAACCACAAGUACAGCAAGCCAUGACUCUUGGUCCACACGCGCGUCAUACAUUAUUUACCAUCUCGACUAAAAACCCCAUCAUACUUUUUGCUCGGACAGAAUUUAUCGGAGAAAUUAAACUUGGCCCUAUCUUUAGUUAUAGCAAAAGAUAGUAGCCGGGCCCUCAGUUUUGGCCACCUUCCUCGCUUCAACUGGUCGUCGGCCCCGGCGCCGGUGCCGGAGCCGGCGCAGAUCCCGUCUCAUCAGCCAGCUUCAUGUCGGAAUAGACGACGCGGCCUUCCGACUCGGAGUCGGUGCUGUUGUCCCCGGCCGAGGCGUCGGAGCUGUUGUUGUCCCCGGCCGAGUCGUCGACGCUGUCGAGGAUGCGGAUUCUGUUCUUGCCGGCGGAGGCGGUGGUGGCGAGGUGGCAGAUGAGCAGCCCCACCAGCGCCAAGCUCAGCAAGGCCACGCGGAUCCUGGUGGGCGCCAUCGCGCGUGGAAUCUAGCUAGUCGUAGCAGGUACCUCCCCUUCUCUGCUCGGAUCGUCCGGCUGUGAUUGCUUUCCUUUGUUCCUGGCUCAUCUCGAAUGCUGACGGUGAGGUUUUUAUAGUGCCGGGAUCCAUGGCCGUUUGCGGUGUUCGCGUUGAAAGUGGCCGGGGUGACCUAAUUUUGGGGUUUGUGAAUUGCAGCCCUCCGUUGCCGCGGCUUUGAAUAGCUCUUGUGCUCUGCUG
Molecule: long non-coding RNA, 1795 nt
Filed under: Zea mays
Lineage: Eukaryota; Viridiplantae; Streptophyta; Magnoliopsida; Poales; Poaceae
Description: long non-coding RNA (ZMAY_LNC002867)
Source: RNAcentral